GUAACAAGGAGGGAGCGCAUUCUUCCACCUUCUGGGUGCUGCUGAGUAUCUUUCUGGGAGCAGUGGCCAUGCUGUGCAAAGAGCAAGGGAUCACCGUGCUGGGUUUAAAUGCGGUAUUUGACAUCUUGGUGAUAGGCAGAUUCAAUGUUCUGGAAAUUGUCCAGAAGGUACUACAUAAGGACAAGUCAUUAGAGAAUCUCGGCAUGCUCAGGAACGGGGGCCUCCUCUUCAGAAUGACCCUGCUCACGUCUGGAGGGGCUGGGAUGCUCUACGUGCGCUGGAGGAUCAUGGGCACGGGCCCGCCGGCCUUCACCGAGGUGGACAACCCGGCCUCCUUUGCUGACAGCAUGCUGGUGAGGGCCAUAAACUACAAUUACUACUAUUCAUUGAAUGCCUGGCUGCUGCUGUGUCCCUGGUGGCUGUGUUUUGAUUGGUCAAUGGGCUGCAUCCCCCUCAUUAAGUCCAUCAGCGACUGGAGGGUAAUUGCACUUGCAGCACUCUGGUUCUGCCUAAUUGGCCUAAUAUGCCAAGCCCUGUGCUCUGAAGACGGCCACAAGAGAAGGAUCCUUACUCUGGGCCUGGGAUUUCUCGUUAUCCCAUUUCUGCCCGCGAGUAACCUGUUCUUCCGAGUGGGCUUCGUGGUCGCGGAGCGUGUCCUCUACCUCCCCAGUGUUGGGUACUGUGUGCUGCUGACUUUUGGAUUCGGAGCCCUGAGCAAACAUACCAAGAAAAAGAAACUCAUUGCCGCUGUCGUGCUGGGAAUCUUAUUCAUCAACACGCUGAGAUGUGUGCUGCGCAGCGGCGAGUGGCGGAGUGAGGAACAGCUUUUCAGAAGUGCUCUGUCUGUGUGUCCCCUCAAUGCUAAGGUUCACUACAACAUUGGCAAAAACCUGGCUGAUAAAGGCAACCAGACAGCUGCCAUCAGAUACUACCGGGAAGCUGUAAGAUUAAAUCCCAAGUAUGUUCAUGCCAUGAAUAAUCUUGGAAAUAUCUUAAAAGAAAGGAAUGAGCUACAGGAAGCUGAGGAGCUGCUGUCUUUGGCUGUUCAAAUACAGCCAGACUUUGCCGCUGCGUGGAUGAAUCUAGGCAUAGUGCAGAAUAGCCUGAAACGGUUUGAAGCGGCAGAGCAAAGUUACCGGACAGCAAUUAAACACAGAAGGAAAUACCCAGACUGUUACUACAACCUCGGGCGUCUGGUAAGCUCGGGAUGCCCUGUGCCUGUGGAAGGAAGGAUGGGUUAUUUUUCUUAUUUAUAAUAAAAUGACAUAGUGACACCCA
RNAcentral lists this small RNA (1278 nucleotides) under Pan troglodytes (chimpanzee). RNAcentral describes it as "processed transcript". Lineage: Eukaryota; Metazoa; Chordata; Mammalia; Primates; Hominidae. The record is from RNAcentral.